RNAcentral lists this long non-coding RNA (551 nucleotides) under Lotus japonicus. RNAcentral's name for it is "long non-coding RNA (LJAP_LNC001356)". The record is from RNAcentral. Lineage: Eukaryota; Viridiplantae; Streptophyta; Magnoliopsida; Fabales; Fabaceae.
AUAAUGAAGUUAUAAUCCAAAGGGAAAUUAUACAUAAGCUCUUAAUAAGUGCAAGCAUGAGCUAGCAACUUACUAGACUAGACUAGAGCAUGGUAGAUAAGCAAUUAUUUAUAAUCCAAGGACUAAAAUUAAUAAUAACGAGGAGGAGGGCCUGGACCAGGAGGAUGCGGUGGCUGCGGAGGACCUGGAGGGCCAGGCGGCGGUGGGGGCUGAUAAAACAUGGCUGGCGGUGGGGGAGAUGGUGGGCCAUGUGGUGGUGGUGGAUGGUGAUGCCCGAAUGGUGGUGGUGGGGGAGCAGGAGCGUAAGGAUCCCGAGGUGGACCUGGCGGUGGUGGAUUAUAGUAACCAGGUGGUUGUGGAGGACCUGGUGGUGGUGGAUUAUGGUAACCAGGUGGCGGUGGACCUGGUGGCCCGGGUGGUCCUGGUUGCGGAGGCCAGUGCCUGUGGUCGUGGGGGUAACUCAUGCUCUUUGCUUGUAGAUGGAGAGUGGUGGUGGUGGAGAAAAUGAUUUGGUUUGCUGAAUUUAUUAAGAUAAGAAUGGAAGGUUCAAG